Molecule: transfer RNA, 89 nt
Filed under: Candidatus Margulisiibacteriota bacterium
Lineage: Bacteria; Bacillati; Candidatus Margulisiibacteriota
Description: tRNA-Leu
Rfam family: tRNA
About the family: Transfer RNA (tRNA) molecules are approximately 80 nucleotides in length. Their secondary structure includes four short double-helical elements and three loops (D, anti-codon, and T loops).
Source: RNAcentral
GCCGGGGUGGUGGAAUUGGUAGACACGUGGGACUUAAAAUCCCAUGAAAAUUAAUUUUCGUGCCGGUUCAAUUCCGGCCCUCGGCACCA